CCUACGGGUGGCAGCAGUGGGGAAUAUUGGGCAAUGGGCGCAAGCCUGACCCAGCAACGCCGCGUGAAGGAAGAAGGCUUUCGGGUUGUAAACUUCUUUUCUCAGGGACGAAGAAAGUGACGGUACCUGAGGAAUAAGCCACGGCUAACUACGUGCAAGCAGCCGCGGUGAUACGUAGGUGGCAAGUGUUAACCGGAUUUACUGGGUGUAAAGGGCGUGUAGGCGGGGAAGCAAGUCAGAUGUGAAAACAACGGGCUCAACCUGUGGCUUGCAUUUGAAACUGUGUGUCUUGAGUACUGGAGAGGCAGACGGAAUUCCUAGUGUAGCGGUGAAAUGCGUAGAUAUUAGGAGGAACACCAGUGGCGAAGGCGGUCUGCUGGACAGCAACUGACGCUGAGGCGCGAAAGCGUGGGGAGCAAACAGGAUUAGAUACCCUUGUAGUC
Molecule: ribosomal RNA, 443 nt
Filed under: uncultured bacterium
Lineage: Bacteria
Description: partial 16S ribosomal RNA
Rfam family: Bacterial small subunit ribosomal RNA
Source: RNAcentral